RNAcentral lists this ribosomal RNA (490 nucleotides) under uncultured bacterium. Its description in RNAcentral is "partial 16S ribosomal RNA". It matches the Rfam family "Bacterial small subunit ribosomal RNA", at positions 29 to 506 of the family's 1533-position model. The record is from RNAcentral.
GUGCACGCUGGCGGUAGGCCUAACACAUGCAAGUCGCACGGCAGCACAGUAAGAGCUUGCUCUUACGGGUGGCGAGUGGCGGACGGGUGAGGAAUACAUCGGAAUCUACUUUUUCGUGGGGGAUAACGUAGGGAAGCUUACGCUAAUACCGCAUACGACCUACGGGUGAAAGCAGGGGAUCUUCGGACCUUGCGCGAUUGAAUGAGCCGAUGUCGGAUUAGCUAGUUGGCGGGGUAAAGGCCCACCAAGGCGACGAUCCGUAGCUGGUCUGAGAGGAUGAUCAGCCACACUGGAACUGAGACACGGUCCAGACUCCUACGGGAGGCAGCAGUGGGGAAUAUUGGACAAUGGGCGCAAGCCUGAUCCAGCCAUACCGCGUGGGUGAAGAAGGCCUUCGGGUUGUAAAGCCCUUUUGUUGGGAAAGAAAAGCAGCAGGUUAAUACCCCGCUGUUCUGACGGUACCCAAAGAAUAAGCACCGGCUAACUUCGU